AUUAAAUUUAAACGUUAAAUUGUAAAAUUAAAUUUCAUUUUUGGUCAAAUCGGUUAUUAGUUUGCCAACGCCGGUCCUAAUACGGCGAAACGCGUUGCAAAACGCGUUUCCGAAAAUUAUUGCUGGUUUUGUUUUAUUUUUGUUAUAAAUAAUAAAAAUUAUAACGAAUUAGCCUGUUAUAAUUACGAGGGGGAUUUGGCCAAAAAUGGCAAGUCGAAAUGCUGGAAUUACCGUUAUAGGCACCGCAAAUGCGAGGUAAUGUAAACGGAGCAAACCCUCUUUUUUAACCGCGAUUUUUUGUUAACCAAUUAAUUUUUCCAACCUGCGUUUUAUAACCAUCGUUUUUAUUAUCGUUCGCCAAAAUAAAGACGUUAAAAUAGGUUACAAAUUUUUUAUAGGCGAUCGCGUUUAUUUCGUGGUUAAUUUUCCGCAAAUUUAGUAAAAUUUCCGCGACGGUAUAAUCGGAAUUGCAACCGCGAAAGUUAAUAUUUUUUCGAUAAUUCGCGCAAAGAUUUUGGUUGUUUAUAUAGUUGGAAAAAACCUUAAACGCGUAUUUUAAGGGUAUUUGCGGAGGAAAGGUGCCCAUUGCGGUUUAAUGGUGGUAAUAAUCGAAUUUAAAUGGUUUUUUUUUAUUUUUUCGGACGUUUUGCAUAUUUUCCGGCGGUAUUUUGGUAGGGCGUUUCUUUUUAAAUUAUAAUACCCUUUUGCGGCGCAAAAAUAUAAAAUGCGCCGCAAUUAGUCCCAUAUUUUAGCAAUUUCGAAUAAAUUUUUUUUUUUUAUUUUAAAAAAAAAAUCAACUUUUUACCUGUGCCGUAUAUGGUUAAUAAAUCCCAAACCCAAUGCGUGUUUUGCAGGUUUUAUAAUUGCACGGCAACCAUAACGUUUGCGUGGUAAAAAUGUUAAAUGUUCCGCGAACCCAAAUGUUUGAAUUAGAUAUAUAUCCUUUAUUUUUUCACAUUUUCGAUACGUCGCACAAAUUUAAUAAUCCCCGAAAAUAUUUAAAUUAUUAUUUCGUAAACGCCUUUGUUAGGCCGUUUGCAGGUAUAAGGUUCGUUAAUAGGUAUUCCACCGCGAUUUUCCCGUUUUGCGCUAAUUGUCGUAAUUAUAUAUUUUAUAUAUCGAUAUACCGGAAUUUCGUUAAAAUCCUUUUAUUUUAUCCCAUUAUUAACCGAAUUGUUUAUAUAUUAUUACAAAAUACCCUAAUUGCGCCAGGAAUAUUUAAAUUAAAAUCGUUUAAUAAUUUUUCAAACGCAAUGGCUUUUUUUGCAGCUAAACCCAGGGCUAGCAAUUUAAAUUUUGUGGAUAAUGUGGAAACGGUUGUUUGUUUUAAGGAUUUCCAAUAUACGGGGCCACCCCCGAUUAUAAAUACAAAACCCUGUAAAUUGCGUUUUAUUUUAAUGCAAUUAACGAACGAUGCGUCGGACGUUACCACCAAAAAUCCGUAGGUUUCCCAAAAUUCGAAACAAAUUGUUAAAAAACGCGUCGAAAAAAGGUAACGUAUGGUUUAAUUUGCCGUAUUUAUAUAUUUUUGGAACGGGUUGGUUAAAUGCCUGGAUAAUUUUAAAACGGCGAAAGCAAUAUCGAGGCGGAUUGUUACGGCUAUAUAUAUUAGGCCUCCCAUUUUUUCCUGGUAUAUCCGGAUAAAAUAUUUGUUUUUUGGUUCGCCCUGGUUAAAUAAUAAUUUCGUGGCCGGGUAAGGUAUUGCGGGGAAAAAUCUAUCCAUUUUGUGCAAAUCGUGUUUUUGCGCCAGUUUUUUUAUAUAUAAAUUGUAUAUAAGGUAAAUGCACCGCUAUUUUCGGUUCUUAAUGGUUUUUAUAUUUAAAAACCAUUGCAAAUCUUUGGCCGGCGGGGAAUCGUAUUUUUUUAAAACAAAUGCAAGGAUUUCCUUUCCCCUAUUGUUAUUUUUUUUAUAAUAUAUUACCAGGAAAUCGUUAAUAUAAAAAACGAUAAUAAUUUUAUAAUUUUUGGAAUAAAACAAAUAUGGUUUUUUUGCGUUUGGUUUUAAACCAAAAUUGUGGAAAAAAUUGGAAAAUCGCUAAUAUUAUAGGAAAACCGACUCUUUUAUACCAUAUAAAAUUAUUAGCAGGAAUAUAAAUAUAUUUACCUCUUUAUACCCUGGGGGUAAUAAAUAAUAUAUUGGUUCCUGGUUUUAAACGAAUUUGGCAUUAAAAUAGGCUCCCUUUAUAUUUGUUUGCUUUACUUCCAUAUUUCGCUCCGCGGCUAUUAUUAAUACCGUGCGGAACGAUUUAGCGGCGAGGGUUAUUGCAUAUAUAUCUCCGAUUAUAACCUUUUGCAAAUCGCCUUUAACGCAAAUCCGUAUUUUGCAUUUAAUUACGUAACCGUCCUGGUUAAAUUUGUAUAAAAAAACCCAUUUAAAUAAUAUAGGCCUAAUUCCCUUCGGGCAAUCUGUGGAUCGAACCUUUUUAUAAACCUUUUUGGCGUCGAGGUUGCCUAUUUCGUCGCCUAUUGCGUGUAGGAAAUCGUUUUUUAAUGGAUAUUUAAAUAUGGUUUUGUAAUUUUUGGGUGGCGGCGGAAAGUUGUUCGAAUGCCUGAAACCCUCCGCGUUAUAUAUAUUAAAACCUGUUUUUUUCCCUUUUGGGACCAAUUGGUUGUUUUUAAAAGAAUUGGUGGCGGUUGCGAAAAUAUUAUAUGCUGUAAUUUGCAUAUUUUCGUAUUUUGGGUUAUAAUAUAUAAUUUCCUCAAAAUUUCGCCAAUUUUAUUUAGCAAUCGUUUUAUUUAUAUAUACAAAAAUUGCAAAUAUCCCCUUUAUUUUAUUAUUAUUCCGGUUAUUUCUCCUUAUUGGCGGUCCCCAUUAUUUGUUUGUAAAUCCUGCUGGUUUACCGCGGCGUUUUAUUGCUAUUUGCAAUGGGAUUUCUAUGUUUUUUUGCGUUUUCGGUGGAUAAUUUUAUUAUGGUGGUGAAAAUGGUUUUUCCACCCCUUUAACGGUAUAAUGGUCCAUAUUACGGUAUUAAUUUCCGGAAACAUCUUCUGUUAAAACUCCUUUUUCCGGGCCUUUAAAAGGUUUAGAUAU
RNAcentral lists this small RNA (3031 nucleotides) under Pyricularia oryzae. RNAcentral describes it as "Magnaporthe oryzae sRNA M_BR32_EuGene_00128051". Lineage: Eukaryota; Fungi; Ascomycota; Sordariomycetes; Magnaporthales; Pyriculariaceae. The record is from RNAcentral.